CCCUAGCCCUGAUGGAAGCGGCAUCCUUUUGCGGCAUUUGAAAUUAAAAGGAGAAAGUCCUGUGGGCUUUAGGUAAAUACUCCAAUGCCGUAAAAGAUAUAGCGGACAGCAGGAAAAAGC
Molecule: small RNA, 120 nt
Filed under: Flavobacterium noncentrifugens
Lineage: Bacteria; Pseudomonadati; Bacteroidota; Flavobacteriia; Flavobacteriales; Flavobacteriaceae
Description: Flavo-1 RNA
Rfam family: Flavo-1 RNA
Source: Rfam by way of RNAcentral